GAUACUUGGCCCUUUAUGUUUCUCAAUAACAUUCUCUCUUUGAAACAAAUCCAUUGAGCAACUUGUUUAUAUAUAGGAAAGCAUACUCUAUAUUACUUGGGACUUAAGAGGGAAAUCAAAAUAGAAGGAGAAUGUUGUAUUCUUAUUUUGGCAACCAAGCUGUAGGCCUUUUCCGGGAUUGCUCCAGCAAUUUAAUAAUAGUUGAUGUUAUCAUAUGCAAAAAUUCGUUUGGGGGUGCUGACUUCUUCUUCUUCUUGAUCAGCUGGUGGUCCGCUUCAUUUCUUUGUUUAUUGUAUGGACUAGAAAGGUAAAUAAAAGCUUCCGUCCUUAGAAACAUUCUUCAUGCAAAACUUAACUGAAAUUUAAAAAAAAAAAAAAAAAAAACUUAACUGAAAUUUGAAUUUUCCAAAAUCCUGAAACAUUUUACUGUGCUUACACUUUCUGGCUCAUGAACUCUAAAGAGUUGACACAUACUUGUAGAGUACUUGGACCAUUGGCAUCAUCACACUUCACAACAGAGGUGCGUACGAGGGAAACCAUCCAUUGAAAUCACUGUUCUAAAAUACACACAAUGCGGUCGUCUUAGCGCCAUAUAUAUGCUGUACGGGUGCAUGACGUACUGAAUUUGGUGGUUCGGUUUAUUUAUAUGGCAUAGUCUAUUUUAGAUAUUAUGAUUAGUAUUAAUGAAGAAAAUGAUUAUAAUGGACAUGUCAAAUAUUCAAAUUACUCUAAAAGUAUGCGUGGAUUCAUAUUUUAUAUGAACUUAUGAAGGCUUGCACUAUUUUCAUUUUGUUGAAGUAGUUGUAUUUUAUUGUUCAUUUUUUUUGUUCAACAUAUUUAAACGUAUAAUGUAACUCUUUGGUUCACAUCUGUUUUCUUUUACAAAAAUAAAGUCAUCUUAAUAUAAAUUCAGAAUGCUACUAUUUAUUGUAGAUAAGAAAAUAAUAAGAACUGUAUAAAUUUAUGAUAAAAAUAUGGAUAUGCCAAUUUACUUACUAAAUGUUCUAUUUUUCUUUGAAACAUUUACCGGGGUAUGCAUAAACCUCCGCAUAUAUAGCUAAGCACUUUACGGUAGUUCACCGUAAGAACGUAUAGCGUAUUUUAAAACACUAGUUGAAAUAGUCUAUGGUUUCGAAUGUUACGAACCACUCCGUUCCGCAUUGUAGUUAACAGUAACAACAAUCUCUACAUAUAUCAUAUAUCUAUACGUUUUUAUAACUGUUAAAACCGCAUCGCAGUUGAACCGCUUGUUCUGUACCGCUCAAUCCGCAGUUACCAUUCGGAGCCUAUAUUUAUGAAACAACACAUUAUGAUUUGUAUUCAAGACAGGCACACGUGUAACCUAACCAGAGGCUUGGUCCGUCUCUUUUUACUCCACGUGUACAUUCAUUAAUUUCCGUGCCUCUCUCAAAGUCUCGACUCUGGUAAUAAGAGUCUCACUUGGUCGCUGAUUUUUCCUCUCUCUCUCAUCAGAUCAAGAAUCAUCAAAUCAAGAAUGACAAGCGAGGUGAGAGAGAAGAAGAUCAAGACCAAUGGGAUUUGGUUAAACGUGGCUGAGAAAGGAGAUGAGGGAGAACCUUUAGUUCUGUUACUCCAUGGCUUCCCUGAGACAUGGUUCUCGUGGCGUCACCAGAUCGAUUUUCUGUCAAGCCAUGGUUACCACGUAGUUGCUCCAGAUCUCCGAGGCUACGCUGACUCCGAUUCUCCUCCGACCCAUGAGUCUUACACUGUGAGCCACCUCGUCGCUGAUGUCAUCGGUUUGCUCGAUCACUACGGCACUGCUCAGGUGAAACUGAUCUCUCAUCUUAUCAAAGAUUCCAACGGUUAGAUUUAGAUCAGUAUAUGAAAAUAUUUUACGUUUCUCAAUGUUAUAGGCUUUUGUGGCUGGACAUGACUGGGGAGCCAUCAUAGGUUGGUCUCUGUGCUUGUUUAGACCAGACAGAGUCAAAGGUUUCGUAAGUCUCUCUGUUCCAUAUUCUCCAAGAGAUCCAAAUCUCAAACCUUCGGACUUGUUCAAAAGCUUUGGAGAUGGGUUAUACAUCACUCAGUUUCAGGUAUUUAAAAAAAAAAAACAAAAGUAUUUUCAAGAUUUGUGGUGUUUCUAUUGUCAUCGUCUGAUUCAGUUCCUUGGUUCUGUCUUUACAAGGAACCUGGAAGAGCUGAGGCUGCAUUUGCCAAGCAUGAUUGCUUGACAGUUAUGAAAAAGUUCUUGCUAACAACAAGAUCAGAUUUCUGGGUGGCUCCUCCUAAUACAGAGAUCAUCGAUGAUCUUGAAGUUCCAUCGACGCUUCCAGAUUGGAUAACUGAAGAAGAGAUUCAGGUUUAUGCAGACAAGUUUCAAAAGUCUGGGUUCACAGGCCCACUGAAUUACUACAGAGCCAUGGAUCUGUAAGUUUUACUUCCAUUGAUUCAGUCGAAUCCUUUGCUGUUACUAACAAAGUGUUGAGGAAAUUACAGGAACUGGAGAUAUUGGCGCCGUGGCAAGGCUACAAGAUUGUUAUUCCAACAAAGUUUAUCGCAGGAGACAAAGAUAUAGGAAAUGAAGGAGCUAAUGGAACGAUUAAGUAUGUGAAGGGAGAGAUGUUCAAGAGUAUUGUACCUAAUCUUGAGGUUGUUGUUAUUGAGGAUGGUCAUCAUUUUAUCCAGCAGGAGAAGUCUGAACGAGUCUCACAGGAGAUUCUUUCUUUCUUUAACAAGUUAAGAAACAUAACAGAGUAAUGAUCAAAGCCAUUCUAUGGCCUUAUCAGAAAAACUAUGGUGCUAGUAUUAAGUACACUAGUGAUGUAUGUCCAAGAAUAAUGCCGAGUGAAAAAUAAUGGUUGAUAAAGUAAAAGAUAUAUCUAUAAUUCUCUAUGUGCAAUACUUGUUUGAAGAAACUUGGAAGGUUUACACAUAGGUAAAUUUCAAAUGAAUUAUCUUACUCUUUAUAUUCAUUCAUGUGUUUCUUGUUCCAUAAGCUUCUCCGCAUUUUCUUUUGAAUCAUGACAAUGACAAGCUAGACGCCACAUGUAACCUAAACUGGAAGCUGUUGCCUGUUGGAAUAGACUAAAAUCUGAAUCAUGAGAGACUGAACCAUACUUUGUAAAACAAAAUCUACACCUAUUUAAGUUUUGGGGUGGGCAUUUCGAUUUUGUUUGUUCUUUCUGGGUCUUUGAUUGAAAUCAACCGAAGUUAGUUUGGUUUGAUUUAUUCGGUUCAGUUUAAUUCGAUUUUGUUUGUGACUAUUCAGUUUAGUCGAGUUGUUCUUUUUGGAUUUGUUCUAAUUCGGUUACAAAAAUAUAAUUUAUAAGAAAUAAAAAUAUUAUUAUUUCACACUAAAUUAUUUAUUCAUAUUUAAACAUAAAGCCAAACAUAUAAUAAAAACAUAAAAGAUGUUAUCCAAUCAUUUUCUAUUAUUAUCUUGAAACUUAAUAUAAAUAUUACAAGUAGUUUUUUCUGUUUUGAAGACGAAAUCUUAUUCUUUUAUUUUAUUGUUAAUGGUGUGUCUUAUAUUUAUUUAAAAGUAAAAUAUAUAAAAACCAUGUUUAGUUGUUUAGGUUAGAUAGUUAAAUAUCUUAAAUUUUAAUAGUAUCACUACUAUUUAGUUAGUCUAAUUAUAUAAACAUUUUGGUUUUCAGUUUGACUCGGUUUAAAGCCAAACCAAACUAAAUCAUUUGGAUAUAUUUUGGUUUGGUUUGGUUUGAGUUGGUUUAGGUUCAGUUGGAUGUUCAGGUUGUUUGCCCAUCCUUUGAGUAUUUCGUAAAUUAACUUGUUUAGGCCGCCUAUGGGCCUUUUGCCACAGCCCAUAAAGACAAGGGCCUGAAACGAAAGCACUAACGCAUAUUUCUCUGGAUGUUCGUUCAUCUUCUGAUUUUAGGAUUUUUUUUAUUUUUCCGUUUCGUACAGUCAGAUCAUCGUUGGGCUGUAAAAGAUGGAUCCGGACGCAGUCAAGUCGACCCUCUCGAAUCUGGCGUUCGGGAAUGUAUUGGCAGCAGCUGCUAGAGAUUAUAAGAAGGUAUAUCAAUUUAAUAUCGGCUUAAAUCCAUCAACAAAUGCUAUUGAGUAGGCUUUUUAUCACACAUAUAGUUAUGAGUAAAUCAUGAAGAAAUGAUUUAUCACUUUCUGAUUGUUUUUUUUAGGUGUUUGGCUACACACAUUGAGUAUUUUGUAUGUUGCAGGAAGUGCUUGCAAAUGAGAAGGCCCAAUCAUCAAAUCAUGUCAAUGAGGAGGCUGAUCUUGAUGAACUUAUGGAUGUAAGUGCAAAUGUUUCUUCUUCUUGAUUGAGAGAUUUAUGCUACUGUCUCUAACGGUAAGACUUUCUCAUUGUUCUGUAGGAUCCGGAGCUAGAAUGAUAGGAUUGCUGCACUCAAGGUAAACAACUCUGGCAACACCCUUCUCUCUUUAGUUAUCAAGCUGUUCAAUAUUUCUUGUUUACUCUUGUUUGUAUGAACUUAACCUCCUAGUUUUGAUCUGGACAGAGAGAAGUUGAGAAGAGAGAAGCGUUCAAAAGACAAGGGCAUGGUGAGUAUCGAGAGGUGAGCGAGGGAGAUUUCUUGGGGGAAGUCACCAGGAGUGAGAAAGUGAUUUCUCAUUUCUACCACAAGGAGUGUUACCGCUGCAAGUAAGAUCUACCCAUCAACUCUCUCAUCUGUAACCUAUAUCCACUCUGCAUCGUUAUGUAGGAUUAUGGACAAGCAUCUCAAGACUCUUGCGCCUAGACAUGUGGACACUAAGUUCAUCAAAGUGGACGCUGAGGUCAGUCCAACCACUUGAUUCAAAGAUAGAAAAAUUGGGUUUGAUGCUUGCCUAACAUAAAUGCAGAAUGCUCCUUUCUUUGUCACGAAGCUAGCAAUAAAGACAUUGCCUUGCGUUCUGCUUUUCAGGUUUCAUCUCUUUCCAUUCAUUCUUACAUUACAUGGUUUGUUUCUAGGUUUUUUACUCUGACAGAAUAUGACUAUCAUUUUUUUUUUUAAUCAUUCUCAGCAAGGGAAUCGCUAUAGAUAGGCUAGUUGGGUUCCAGGAUUUGGGCACAAAGGACGAUUUCAGCACUACCAAACUGGAAAACGUUCUGAUUAAAAAAGGUAAGGAGCAUCCACCUUUUUCAGUUCAGUUAGAGUAUUGUUGCUUAAAAUGUGCAAACCAUUAAACAGGAAUGCUCAGCAAGAAGAAGAAAGAGCAGGAUGAUGAAGAUGCUGAGUACCAAGAGAGCAUAAGGCGGUCGGUUAGGUCUUCAGAGAAUCUGGACUCUGACUCUGAAUGAUCAAACCACCUUACAUCACAGAGUUGUCUCUGUUUUGCCUUUGUUAUGUGUUUAUUAGGUAAUGAAGCUUCAUAGUUACAUCUUAACCAUCAAAUGCUUGCAUGACAUUGUAUGUUGCUAUGUGUAAUACCACCAUUUUCUUGUUGCUGUUACAUAAAUAUUGACUUGUUUUUGGCUUUAAAAAAAGCUAGAAAACAGAUGUUCUUGAAUCGAAAGGAUAUAUGUUAGAGAUAAAAGAUCAUGCAGAGGUUUAGUUAACAUACUUUUUUCUUAAACAAGUUAUGGUAGAAAAUAUCUUGUUCAAUAAUAAUAAAAAAAUUACUAGACAGAACAAACAUGUGAAAAGAUCAUUCCUCACAAAUAGUAAUUUCUUCGUCAAUCUCAUCUAUUUUUUCUUGACCUUUGAAUUUUUCCCCUUAGUGGUCUUUUUCUUGUUCUCCAAAUCAGCCUCUUCAGUUUUGGCCUUGUCUUGUUCGUUCUUGAUCUUCUUGGCUUCCAAGAACUCAACCAACCCCUCAAGAAUACUAUCAACAGACUCAUUCCUCAUAAGUUGUUCAGCUACAUCUGCUGGAGUAACCUCUGUCGCUUCGAUACCUUCCACGAUCUUGCUGAAAAGAGGGUGUUCUUUUAUCUCUAGAUAGUUCCAAGCAAGAGCCUUGAAAGUACUCGGAGUGCAGUAUGACAUGUGGAUGUGCACAUCCAUACGUCCUGGCCUCAACAACGCAGGGUCUAGUUUGUCUUUGUAAUUGGUUGUGAAUAUUAUGAUCCGUUGGUCGCCGCAGCUUGACCAUAAACCAUCAGUGAAGUUUAGUAGUCCAGAGAGUGUCACUUUCUUGUUUCUUGAUUCCUUAGGUUCAUCAGUUGUCCUGUUAUUCAACGUGAUGGAGCAGUCGAUAUCUUCCACCACAAGAAUUGAACGAUUACCAGUGUCAAUCAACAACCUUCUGAGCUCGGAAUUGUCUACAACAGCAGUCAACUCUAAGUCAUAAAUAUCGAAGUUGAGAUGGUUAGCCAUGGCUGCAAUCAAGCUUGACUUCCCUGUCCCUGGUGGACCGUAUAACAAGUACCCUCUCUUCCAAGCCUUACCAACUCUCUUAUAGUACUCACUCCGUUUCACAAACUUGUCAAGAUCUUCCAUCACACUUCUCUUGACAUCUGAAUCCAUUGCUAGUGUCUUGAACGUAGAAGGAUGGGCAAGAGUAACAGAGGUCCAUGAGUCCCCCCAGUACCUUGUGUCGAGAGUAAAGAGCUUGAGUUUCUUCUUCUCGUGCUUCAUUAACCUGGAUCUUUUCACCAUGAAUGGCAAGUAAGAUUCAAGAGCUAUGUCCUUGAAUCUUUUGUCGAAGUUGAGCUCGAAUGAUUUGACAUCAAAACUGGAUUUGGAGUAUUGAUUCUUUGUCUCAACAUGGUGGCUACGUAGGACCCAUUGGAAUUGGACGCCAUUGAAAACGUCCACAACUUGCUCGUCACGUCCUACAGAGACGUUGUAAUUGGAAUCUUUCUCGUGUUUACUCACUUUGAUUCUUUUGUUAGAUUGAGAGAUCUUGGUGGCUACGUAGGCCUUUGCAGCAUCAAAUACUUCAUUGUGAUUGUACCCUUCAAACUCUUCGAUGGUUAUUGUCAUUUGAGAGGAAUUAAAGUAAUGAGCCAUGGAGCGUUUAACGAAGCUGCGGACUUCAUAGGAGAUGUAUUGUCGCACUUCGAGAGGCAAGUAGCUUUGGGCUAACGAUCGAGCCAGCAUUGCAGUUUCAGCCACCGAAGCUGCAGUGGUUACAACCGCUGGAACUCCCAUGGACUCGGUUUUUUCUAGGAUUUUUGCAAAUAUACUUGGAUAUAUUGCAGCACGACGAACUGAAACAAUCCUAGGUUGUUUUGGUCCUCCAAGUGUCGUGUAUCUACCGGUAUCCAUAGGUAAACAAACUGGGUAAGAACGGGAUGUUAGUGCCAUUGAGAUCGGAUCUGAAAAACAAUAUGAUGAACGAGGUUGGUUUCUCUAGGGUUCUAUAGUAACUUGGGCGAGGAGAAAAGUUUCUUUAUAAGCAAAGCGCUCUCUGUCUAUCAUUAACAUGACUCUAAAAACAUCUACUUGUGGACAAAAAAAAAGUAAAGAAUGACAAAAAAGGAAAUAACACACAAAAGCGGUAAGAAACUGACGUAAAAUAGAAAUUAAAGAAAAGGAAGAAGUUUCGUUAACAAAUUUUUAUUUUCUAAAUUAUUUUUCUGAUUUAUAUAAAUUCAGUAGUGGCAUAUAUGUAAUAGUUACAAAAAAAUGUUCUUUAUAUCCUUUGUUUUGUGAGGAGGUUCCAAACUCCAAAGCGUGCAUCACCAAAACUGAUAAUUUCUGAAGGGAUAUAUGGAAAUUUCAUUAUAAAAUUUGUAAUAUAUAUCUUAUAUAUUAAAACAUAACUCACAACUUUGAUGUAUUUGUAAUAGACCUAUUCCUAGAAAGUCAUAUUACAUUUAAUCUUUAAUCUUAUCAUUUAAAUUUUGAGCCUCCCAUAAAUUUUUAUUAGGCUAUCAAUAAUUGAAUUUAAACAAUAUAUGAUCCAUUAGAUUUAUACAUAGUAUAAAUUAAAUAGAUAUAAUUUAAUGUUACAUCCAUAUGUUAAUUAUUUAAAUAUUUAUCGAUGUUAACUUUUAAAAUUAUAAAUAUUUUUUAAAUAAAAAAAUCAUAUUAUCUAACAAUGAUUAAUCUUUACUACCUUAAACCAAUGAAAACAAAUGAACUAUAUAGUUUAUUUUAAAAAUUAAAUAAAAACUAAAUGUUUAAUUAUUUACUCGAUAAUAUAAAUCUAUGAAGCGAAAAGUUAAUUUUUUAAAAACUUUCUAAAUUUGUGAAAUGUUACAAUAUUUUUGAAUAUGGCAAUAAAACAAUAUUUUACUAAUAUAUAUAUAUAUAUAUAGUUACGAAAUAAUGAAAUAAUAAUCCGAAAAUAUAUAUAUCGAAGAAAAUACAAAUAUAUGUGAAAGUUUAAAACAAUCUUAUUCAAUGAAAAAAUAUAUUGUAUACUUAUUAUGCUUAAAAAAUUGAUAGACACAUAUAUAUUAUAAUAUAUACCAAUUUAGAAUUAAAAACAAAAUAUUUAUAUAAAAAUAAAUGAAAACAAAAAUCUGCGCGGUUGCGCGGAUCGAGAUCUAAUGUUAUAUUUAAGAUACAAUAUCGCUAUUUAGAUUUUACCAAUAACAGCGACUUGUGUAAAGCAAUACUAACAAGUAUUAAUUCAGUUUUAAAGAUGAAAAAAUCAAAUUAAGGAAGAAAAACAAUUCAAUGAUAUUACAAUUUAGUUCGUUAAUAAUACUUGCUUACAUUGUUCAAAAAAUUGAUUACAUUCAUACAUUGCAUUCUGGAUUUUAGUUCAAUUAAUAUCCAAUACAAUCAUUUGAAUAAAAGACCGACAAAGUCAUCAAAAAGUUAACGUUACAACCAGCUCACAAAAAGACACUAGCAAGUAAAACAGGACGGAGUUGAUUGGCGCAAUGGUCAGUAUUCCUUCAGGUUAUAUCUCUCAGGUGGUGGAACUCUGAUUUGAGAGCAAAAAAAUAUGUGAUCUAGGCUAGAUCAAUGGCACACGACUAAGUCACAUAUAAAUAUCGUUUGAUUGCAGCAUUUCGUUUAUAUCAAAAAUAUAUUGUUCUUUAUACAUAAAACCUUUAAAAUGAUAAGAGACAAACCUGACCAAACACACACACACAUAUAUAUAUAUACAAGAUAUGAGCCCGUUGCGUUGUAACGAGUUUUGUUUGAUGUUUUAAUUUAAUAAAAUCAUAAAAUAAUAAAUCAUUUUAUUAUAGUUUUAUGAUUUUACAUAUGUUGUUUGAGAUUUAUUUUAUAAUUAAAACUCGUUUUCACACAUAAGUUCAAGUUAAUAUUUGUAUUUUAUAAUCAUGGUGCAUAGAUGAUUUGUUAUAAACUUUGGACUUAGGAUUAGAGAAAAUACUAUACCUAAACGUUUAAACUGAACACAACCCAAAAUAAGAAACUGAAUGAAAAGUAAACAGAAAUGAAAGUCAAAUACACCAGUCGAGUCAAUGACAACAUUAUACAUCUUCUUAUGUACUAAUUUAAUGUUUUAUUAAAUAAGUCUUUAAAUUUUUCUUUUGUUAGGACUUUUUUAAAAAAAUGAAAACAUUAUAUUUUAUAAAUCUCCUUUUUAUUUACAAUUAAAAAGUAAUAUUAAAUACUCUUUUACCAUUUUGUUUAAGAUUUUAGAAAAUGAAAGUUACUGUCAUAUAACCUAUUACAACUAUCUUCUCUUUAGAAUUUCAGAAAAAAUAAAUUGCUAUCCAAUAAUUAUUUUUAGUUAUUAAUAAAUAAUUUUUAAAUUACUAUUUUUACAAUUCGUAUCAAUACUAAUUUUACACUACUUUUUUUUAAUUUAAUAAUUUUUAGUAACAUGUUCAUAAUCAAAUACUCUCUUAAAAAUAUUUUCAAAUAAUUUUUUCCAAUUCUCUUUUGGUUAGGGCUUAAAAAUAUGAUACACAUUUUUUUUCUUUAGGAUUUGUUUUUAUAAAAAAGGAAAACAACUAUCAAAAAUUCUUUUACAAUUUUUUUAGGAUUUUAUAAAAGGAAAUUAAUAUUACAUAAUCUUUUACAAUUAUAUUUUGUCUAGGAUUUAGAAAAAUAAAAUUUCUAUCAAAUAAUUAUUUUCGGUUAAUAUUAACUAUUUUUAAAAGUUGCCAGUUAAUAAAAUUUGUUUUUGUUAAUAUUUUAGUAUAUAUAUUUUUAAUUAUGAGAAAGAUUAAUAUAUGUUACAAUCUUAAAAUAUAUAAUUACCAUGUGUCGCGAUCAUGUUAAUUAGUAACUUUGAAGAACCAAAUUUUAUAUAAUAAGAUAUAUAUAAAAUAGGAACGCAAAGCAAGUAAAACAGGACGGAAUAGACUGAGGUCGAAAAAAAUCAUGAAGCUUAAACUUUCUGGUAAUAAUAUAUUAACACAGCAAUACAUACCCUUUUACUUUCUACUCAACGAUACGACAAAGUUGACGGUCGUUUUGUUGCAGCUUCUUGCAGCAAUGUAGUACUUGGCUGCGUUGUGUGCGUACUUCUCAAACAGACGGUCGAUGAUAGCAUCUCCGAAAUGAGCAACCAACAUUGUAACAGUGAUGAAUCUUUUUCUGCUUGCCAUCAUUUCCCCAAACUUUAAUCGACAUGUUUCAUCGUCAUCUUCCUCACUAUCUUUGUAUGGAACUAGAUGUUCAUGUGUCUCGAUGAUAUUAAUCUCAAAUGAUCCUUCUUUUUGAAGAAUUUCCCUGACCUCUUCUUCACCCGCAUCAUAAAACGGCAAGUUGAAUGAAUCAACAUCAGAUUCCUUAACAAUUCCCUAUACUCACAAGUCACAAAAUAUAUGCAAGAAAUCUUACAAUAAGGUAUGAUUUUGUUUGUUAAAAAAAACAUUGAUUUUCUAUAAAUUGCGUGGUACUCUCCACUUAUUAUCAACUGAUAUUGAACUAUGAACUUCAUUAUAUAUAUAUAUAUAUAUAUAUAUAUUCUUACAGUUUUUCUUUUUAAAUGGAGCUAUAGACCAUCCAAUGUAUUUUGCUAUUUUUAUCUAAAAUAAAAAAUUAUAUAAUAGAGAUAGAGUUUACUCUAAUGUAAUAUUCUAAAAUAACAUUUUCUAUAAUUAGAGUAAAAAGUAGAGAAAUGUUUGCUUCUCAUGAUGUGACAAGAAAAAAAAGGUUUGCUUCCAAUGUCUAUAAAAAAUAAUAAUCUUUAUUUUAGAAAAAAAGUAUGUGUGGAUUAAUUUACCUCUAAAAGUAUUAUUAUAAAGACAAAUAUAGUGAUACAUUGGAAAUGCUUUUUAGUGAUUACCUCGGAGACCAAGUCGAGGAGGGAAUCAGCCAACAAUGACCAGUAAUGGCAGCUCUCUCUAUAAAGAGGAUCAGAAGCAUUUCUGCCUAUGAAUAUGAGAACCAUCCGUCCAUUAGACACAACUUCUUCAGAACGCAUUUUUAAGAAUAACGAAAAGUCAUUUUGAAACUGAUCCAAGCAAUGUUUUUAAACCCGACCCGGAUACUGAACCGGACGACUUAUCGGGUUGCUGGAUCACUGGGUCGACCGCGGAUGAACCGCGGGUUAAAAAUGAAUUUAUUUUUUAUAUAAUAAUAUAUUAUCUAUGAAAAUAAAUACAUAAAAAGUUAAAAACUAAAGUUGAAUAUUUUCUAAAUGUUUUCUAAAACAUAAAAUAAUAGUUUGGAUAUGUAUAUAUUUUAUGUUUAAAAAGUAUUUAGAAAACACUUUACUUUAGUUUUUAUAUUUUUAUUUUCAUUUGACAUACAAAAUAUCAAAAAAUUGUUUAGACUAUUUAAAAUUUUAUGUAACAAAGUAAGAGUUAUGACAUCUGAAAAAAUCAAGAAAUAAAUAUUAUAAAUAUUUAAAUGUCUAAUGUGAAUAAUAAACUAAACUUCAAAUUCAAAAUAAACUAAAAGUUAAAGAUCAUUGUAAUAAAUUAUCAGUAACGGAAAUUAACUAACACCAAAUCACAUAAACUAAUUUUGGUUCUCUCUACCAUCGUUCACUUCAUUUUCUUCAAGUGGCAUAGUGAAAUCUUCAUUAAAAUUUAAAAAUCACAAUAUAAAACUGAAAAAGGAAAACCUAACUUUUUCUGACAGCACCUAACUUCUUAAUUGGAAACUUAGAAUAUAAAACUUAAUCUAAAACUAAAAAAAAAUUAUUUAUUGGUUCAACCGGUGGUUCAACCAGUAUCGGGUUCCGGGUUUUAGUGAGGUUUUGUGGGUUUUUGUGAGUUUUUGCGGGUUUCUAAAUAUUGGGUUUUUCACAAAAUCCAAACCGGAUUUUUUCUGAGUCACCGGGUUUAUCGGUUCAACCGCGGGUCCGGGUCGGGUUUCAAAACACUGGAUCCAAGUAACUUUUGGACACACUUAGAGGCCAAGGGUUUCUAAUAUACACAUUCUUCUUGUUAUCUUCAAGCCCUUCAGGGACCUUAGAGAGCCAAUGGAUACUACAAGCUAAAUGAACAAAGUGAAGAGGCAACCUGAUAUGGUGAAUCAACUCGUUUCUGCAAUGCUAGGUGCGGGAUAGCGGUGUGUACAGCUUGGUCUCUUGGAGCUCUCUUCGGUAAGAGUUACUUGGAACCUCCACUUCUAUUUACCGUAUAACGCUUAAUCGACAUGAAUGGUUAUAAGUAUGAGGAGUUCCUCGGAAGCUAGCUACGCCAAAGGCGACCCGGAAAGUCCUGGCAUCCGAGGCGACAAGGAGAACCUCACAUUUUCAGGGUUAUCGCCAAUGGUCGAGAACAGCAACUGAGUCUUACGGAUUCUUAGAACACAAUAGUGAAACGUGCCGGGUUCAGUGGGCGGGCGAAACUAGGAUGUAAUAGGUUGAUUUGGGAAUUUUGUUCAAAUCAUGCUUGUAACCGGAACUGAAUCCCGUUAUCGGGUUGAAUAAAAAAUUUAUUCAAAAGAAAAAAAAAAUACACAAAGUGAAGAGAUUUGCUUGGAAAUAGCCUCGAGUAAAAAGAACCGGGGACUCCUGAGACGAAGCACCUUCCCUUAACAUCCAUCUUUAGAUUCUCCUUGAAGGAAGUAGCACACUUAAAGGUCAUAUUGAAAUCAUUGUUUGGAAGAUCGUUUAGGCAACAAUCAAUUUCUGGUGGGGUUCGACUUGUUUCUUGGUACUGUAAGCUAUGAUCGUAUUGACGAUUCAAGACAUGGCCAAGAAAGUGUUUUGUCCAGAAGAACAGCCCAAUUCAGCCACUUUAAUGGAUUCAGGGAAACCCAAAUUCAGUAAAGUUUUUCUAAUAUUCUCUACCACAAUCGUUUGUGCUUUAGAGAAAACAGUUUUCUGAAAGUUAAAUAUACAAAUAUAACUGGUUAAAUCUUAUUAAAACAAAAUAUAUAUAUAGAUAAGACUUACCCUUACCUGUGAUUUACUAUUUAUAACAUUCAAAAUUUAACUAUUCAUAAACAUUUCUAUAAAAUUAUUUUGAUUAUUACUUAUAUAUUAGACCAUUUUAAUAGAAUACAACAUUAUAUAUGAGAUUAUUUUGCCACUAAAUAGAUUUUAACUUUUUUUUAAAUACUUCACAAUAAUAAAAUAUUAUAGAGAUCUUUUUAAAUUUUAUUUUUAAAUAAUUAAUUAAAUUUAUAGUCAUUAUUCAAAAACAUAACAUAAAUAUUAACUCUGCUUUAGUCUUAUAAAUAAAACAGCAUAUAAUACACAACUUAGAGAUACAUUAUACAUAUAGAAUCAUUUGAGUAUAAGAUAGAUUCGUUUAUCCUAAACCAUAUCCUAAUCAGGAAACUAAAAGUAACUGCUCAUAACGCACCACAAUAAGAUGAUUGGUAAUCAUACACAAAAAACACAACAUUACAUAUCUCAUCCCAUCAACUGGUAUUAAUGUAAUGCACUCCACAUUCUUUUAUCAUCCAUUCGUCACUGUCUACCCAAAACUCGUCAUGUUCGACCUCAAACUCAAAGCAAAGCUCGUCUGAAGUCACGUCUGCUUCGAGUUCAAAGAUGUACAGAUGUUCGUUCCGUUAAAGGACGAAACAGAACGAGUUCACUUCGAUUGCACGGGACAUCGAGGCUAUUCUGUUUGAUCCGAUGAUGUACAUACACCCUUUGACCUUUAGCAGCUUCAACCUCAUCUUUACUAACCAGCAAUAUGCAAGCCUUACAUAUCAUUGGUGAAGGGAAAGGCCUCUCAUUCAACUUUAUUACUAGGGAACCUCCAUUAGCUUGAUAAUUGAAGUAGUUAGGCAUUUCUUUACCGGGUAACAUCGUUAUAUAAUUAGUCGACGUCUGGAUGAUGACAUCUCUCGCUUCUUUAUUCAGUUUGAAGCAGUUGGCGAAGUUGAGAGCAAUCUUUUGAUUAAAAAAGGAGAAAUCUAGUGUCUCUAUACCCUCACAAUCUUCUGCGUCUAGCUCUGAUAAUGAACUUGGAAGCUGUGGGAGUGACAAAAGCUCCUUGCAUCCCUUGACUACAAGUUGACAAAGACGAGAGAUUCUCUUGAUCCAAGGAGAACUCUCUUGUACUUCUGUGUUGCUCAUGAGCAGACCUGUUAGGAUGUCAAGAACGUGAGGGAACUCCUUGAAGUUCUCGUAGUAUGACAGAUGCACGUCAUAUAUGCAAGACAAUUCAUCUAGACGAGACCACAACCUGAUAGAUGAAGGCACUUGUUUAUUCGCAGUUCCACUAAGAUACAUAGAUUUGAUGUUUGUUGAGAUCUCAGGAGAACUUUUCAUCAAGGAGCAAUCAGUGAUGUUGACAGGAAGAACCUCCAGCUUGCAACAUUCUUUCAAAAUCAAAGAGUAUAGUUUAUGGAGGUUUCCAAUAGAGGCAGGAAGUUCCACAAGACUUGAGCAUCUACUAAACUUCAAAUGCUUGAGAUUAGUGGUGUUUCCAAUAGAGGAAGGGACUCCCACUAAACUUGAGCAAUCACUUAAAUCCAAUUCCUCAAGGUUUCUUAUAUUACCAAAACAUGAGGGGAGCUCCACCAACCUUGAACAACUACGAAGAGACAGAAACUCGAGAUUAGUUGCAUUCCCAAUAGAGGAAGGAAGCUCUACCAAACUUGAACAUCCAGUGAGAUCCAACUUUUCGAGAUGAAUGGCAUUCCCAAUAGAGAAAGGGAGCUCUACCAAACUUGAACAUUCACCGAGAUGCAACUUCAUGAGAUGAAUGGCAUUCCCAAUAGAAGAUGGAAGCUCCACUAAACUUGAACAUCCUGUGAGAUCUAAUUCCUGUAGACUAGUGACAGUUGAGAGACUAGAAACAUCCUUCAAGUUUUUUGAAUCACUCAGAUCCACCCACUUGAGAUUCCUAAGCGGCUGACAGAAAAUAUCAACAAGAACACAUUUUUUAAAUGCUAUUAGUCUACUUUUUCAAGUUACAUAGCUGUAAAAAUCUGAUCAAUAAUAAUGAUAACAACUUUGUUAAAAACAUAUGAUAAUUCUUAUGUUACUUACUUUAGUUCCAUCCCACAACUUCUCAAGUUUGCUGCCAUACAUGAUUAGUUCCACGAGGAGCUCUGGGUUGGGAAUACAAUGCAAACAUGUCAUCGGAAAAUAGCUCCAAUCUAGUAAUCUAAGUUUACGAGAUAAAUAGCUUGGUUCACCAAAUAGAUGAAAUGCUUCUCCUCCACCAUCAGGUCCCACGUUUAAUCUUAAGAACUGGAGAUUAGACAUUACUUCAAAGGCUCUCUCACUCAUAUAUAUUUCGUCUCCACGGAAUAUUAUGCCAAUAACACUUCUACUACCCUGAAAACAGAGCCAAAAAUAAGGUAGAGAUGAUUGCAGUUUAUCAAACAGACUCAAUUUAUAACGAGAAGUAGUGCAAUAAAACACUAAUAGCAAAAAUUACCGCUGCAUCAUCAGCAAGUACUUCACAAAUCUCUCUGUUAUCGACCAAAAACUGGCGUUGUCCAGGCUCCGUGGACUGUUUGCGGACAAUAUCUCUACCUAGCUGGACUAGCAGAUCAUGCAUACUCACACGUUCACUUUCCAAAGAUAUGACAGACUUCUCAGCUAAGACGUUAAGCCGUUGCCUCACAUCAGUAAAUCUCUUUGAAAGAUGCUCUACCACUUUCUCUAUCCACUCAUUGUUGAAAAAGCAGGCUAUGUGAAGAAACAAAUCUUUAUUUUCAUGAGAUAGUGCGUUAUAACCGAACAUCAAAAUGCUCUCAAUUUCUCCAUCAAGGCACAUCCUUAGCCCUGGUAGUGCGUUUUCCCACUCCUCCUUCAACAUUCCUCGAAAAUAAGAUCCCAUAACCCUUAGUCCCAAUGGGAGUCUACCGGCGAGUCUUGUAACUUCCCGUACAAGUCUCUCAAAACCAUCUUCAGGGGACUUUUGACCAAAAGCAUACAUACAAAACAUCUGAAUAGCCUCACGAUCUGAUGGAAAAUCAACCUUGUAUAUUUGAGUGAUCCCAUGUGCCUUCAGAAUCUUUCGAUCUUGCGUCGUAAUGAUAAUCCGACUUCCAUGACCAAACCACCGAGUUUCUUUUGCCAUGGCUUCUAGUUGUACUAACCGAUCAACGUUAUCAAGAACAACAAGAACUUUCUUGUCACUCAGUCUUUCUCGUGCAACUCCCAAGUGAGAAAUCUUGAAAUCCUCCUCCUUCUCGUUGAUUAGUUGAGACAAAAGCUUUUGCUGCAAGUGCAACUUCACGUUGUAGUCGUCUGAACAAACCGGUGGAGUAUGCAUUGCUUUGACAUUCAUCAUAAAGACACUGUAUUGAAAUGUAUCUGAUAGUUGAUUAAACAGACACCUAGCAAUGGUGGUCUUGCCAAUCCCAGCCGGCCCCCAAAUCCCUAUCAUCCUCACUUCAUCCAAAUCUGUGCGUAAAACCGGCGAAAUCUUCUCCAUAUGAGCUUCCAUCCCAAUGAAUUCUUCGAAAUCUCUUGACGGCGUGGAGUUAAACAACUUGUUUGCAACCUCAGUGGCAACAUCUUCUAUCAUUUUUACAUCAUUAUCCCUUAUACAACAUAUUCAAAAUAUAUCAAAGUCAAUUAAAUUGUUCAAAGAUAGUUUAAUUUGUGUUUGGAAAGAUUUGACGAACCAGUUAUUUGAAUGGUAACCAGCGAGUGUGGCCACUUUUGCUAGAGCUUUACUCCAUUUUCCAAUAACCUCAUUUGUUUUACCUUUACAUGUUUCUUUAAAGACUUUCCAAAACUCACCAGCCUGCUUCUUGACAUCACUUGGAUCCACUUCAUAGAAAAUGGGCAUCACUGUUUGACCUAACUCUUCCUUACACUUCAUAAUCUCCACUAACUCGUCGAGACACCACGAUGAAGAAGCGUAUCUUUUCGAGAGCAACACAAUCGCAAUUCUUGAUCCUUGGAUUGCCUUCUUGAGCUCAGGGCCUAUAAACUCUCCUCUAGGGAUCUCUUUCUCAGUGAACAGGUUGAUUCCUUUGCUCCCAAGCUCCUUGAGAAAAUGACUGAGAAAGGAUUUACGGACAUCUGCUCCGUGGAAGCUCGGGAAGACAUCAUGUAUGCAGUUACGUGGCAAAGACGACUUUGGAGAUGGUGGAGAUGAAGAAGAGUAAGCAAUUAUUUUGUUUUCUUGGACUAUGAACUUUGCAUAAACAAUAGAAAAGAUUUUACUACACAAAAGCGUAAACAUGGUAGAAGCAACUGUCACAAGGAGAAGGUAAAGAUCCAUUACUACGCUAGAGAAAAGAUCUAUAGAUCAUAGAGACUCUGCGAGAUAGAGGGUAACGAUUUACAAAGAGGUUUUGUAUACCAUGUUAGACGUUAUUGACUAAGCUUAAAUGGAAAUAAAGUUAUAUUUUCCUAGAAAAUACUAUGUUAUUUCACAGAGAAAGCUAUCAUGUAGGUUCCACCAUUCUUGUAAGUUUUAUAAACCGAAGUUCUUGGAUAUUUCCUGUGCUUUGAAAAUGAAAUUUCCCUUUUAAUCAAUUUGAUCAGUCCGGUUUAAAAUGAGUUUUUUUUUUCCUUUUUCAAAUUGUCACUUGGAGAAGCUAUGGUUUGGUCAAUUUGCAUUAAAAUCAGUCCGGUUUAUUUCAUUAUUUUCCAUAAUCUUUUAUUUUAUUUUGGUUUUUAAAUAGUACAACUAGAUCCCGACUCGCGCAACCGUGCGGAUUUUUGUUUUCAUUUAUUUUUAUAUAAAUAUUUUAUUUUCAAUUCUAAAUUAGUAUAUAUUAUAAUAUAUGUGUCUAUCGAUUUCUAAAAACAUAAUAAGUUUACGGUAUAUUUUUUUCAUUGAAUAGAUUGUUUCAAACUUUCACAUGUAUUUGUAUCUUCUUAUAUAUAUAUUUUCGGAUUAUUAUUUCAUUAUUAAAAUCAUAAAUAUAUAUAAAGAUUAGUAAAAUAUUGUUUUAUUUUCAUAUUCAAAGAUAUUGUAACAUUUCACAAAUUUAGAAAGUUUUUAAAAAUUAAAGUUUCCGCUUCAUAGAUUUAUAUUAUUGAGUAAAUAAUUAAACAUUUAGUUUUGUUUAAUUUUUAAAAUAAACUAUAUAGUUUAAAAUUUGUUUUCAUUGGUUUAAGGUAGUAAAGAUUAAUCAUUGUUAGAUAAUAUGAUUUUGUUAUUUUAAAAAAAAUCUUUAUAAUUCUAAAAGUUAAGAUGUUAAAAUAUUUAACAUAUGGAGGUAUAGUAUUACAACAUUAAAUUAUAUAUAUUUAAUUUAUACUAUCUUUAAAUUCAAUGGAUCAUCUAUUCUUUAAAUUCAAUUAUUGAUAGCCUAAUAAAAAUUUCUGGUAACUUCAAAAUUUAAAUGAUAAGAUUAUAGAUUAAAUGUAACAUGACUUCUUAAGAAUAGAUCUAUUAGGUCCAUUUUUUAAAAAAUCACACAUGAAUCAAUGUUGUGACUUCUGUUUUAAUAUAUAAGAUAUCUGGUUUCAAUUAGGCAACAAGAUUUUUGACUAUCAUUCCAAAUUAAUGAUUUUGGUUCAAAUCAUCCAUGUUGAUGGUGGAUUGUGUAACAAGUUUGGUCUUGAGAGACCUCUUUGCUGUUCUUCCCAGCCUUAAUGCUGCUUUAAGUUGCUAUAACGAGAUUCAAUAAGAAAAACAACCUUGAUUUUUGAUAUCCAGAAAAUUGUGACUUGUGCAAGCUAGUGUUGUGAGCCUUGUGACGUUGUCCAGUCACGUUUAGAACAAACAUGGUUUAACACUUCAAAACAAAUAGUUAAUGAUACUAAAUAUGUCAAGAUCAGAUUAACAAAAGCUUUUAGUUUAACAAAUAGUUAGCUAGCAUAAUUUCUGAUGAUCCUGCUGUAAAACCAUUUUCGGUUCUCACAUGUCACUGCCACAGCAGCUUGUCCGACUCAAAGAAACUGAAAAAGACACUGGACUCUGAUCAUGAUCCACACCUUGUUUGCACUCUUGUUCCUCCUUACUUAGGUUGCGCCCCUAAGAUCCACAAAAAUAUAUACUGAAGCUAAGAGAGAUGGUUAUAAAUAGAUUACUAAAAGUUGAAAACAAAGAAGAUGUACCAAGGAGCAGAUGAAGUUGCUUUAAACUCAGACUCGAGAUUGUCAAGCUCUAUGCCAUUAUCUUUUGCAAAUGACUCCAUCUGACAUAUAUUUUGGUAGACAGCAUCCCUCUGCUCUUUUAGAGCCAAUUGUUGCCUCUCCAGCUCAAGAAUCCUGUGUUCCAUUUUCACCAAAAUCUUCUUUCAGAGCCAUUAUCUUUCUAUUGAAACCGUUUUGCUCCUCCAUUUUCUUUAGUUGUGUAUCUUUAAGAGCCACCAGUUUGUUGAUCCUUGCCAGGGGCGCUGAAACAUCGAAACCAUGUUUCUCUAGCUCGGCGAAGGAAACCUUGAGGCUAUCUAGUUGGCUCAUGGAAACGUCAGGUUCAAGAUCCUUAAAGUUCUCCAAUAACCUUAAAGUUCUUCACUUUCCCCAACCACUAGGCUUAAAUGAGGAUUUUGUGGUGGUGCUCUCUAGAAGACUUCCAUUGUUUCAAGUUCCUUCCAGAGAUGUGACUUUUUCGCAAAAGGCAAAACCAUGGUUGUGGCCUCAACACCAGGAGUAGAAGAACUAAGGUUAUGUUCUCUUUUCCUCUUUUGAUUGUUGUUAACUUCUCCGCUGCUCUCCUGCAACCAACCGUGAAACCAUUUAAAAGGAACCUUAGUUAGUGCAUACAAGUGCUUAGAAAGUAAGAGUGCCAAUGCUGAAGCAAAGAUAGAUUUAGCUUUACAUUCUCUUGUGUUGUAUGGUUUCCCAAGCCACUCUGAUCACUCACCGGCUGAACAGAGAUUUCCUCAGUUCCCGCAGAUCUGGCCGGGGAAGGGGCUAGAGAUGAAACUGAUUCAGUUGCUGAAAAACAAGAACAAGAACAUCCAUAUUACAUUUGCAGAUAAAUUGAACAAGAAUCAAGAACAUUCAUUUCAUCUGCUGUUACUAUAAUGGCACUGCACGUAUCAUUGAUUGAUCUCACUCAGCCUUUUUAUCCAACUCUUUGGUUAAGCAAACAAUGAGAGUUAAGACAUACCAGUUUCACUGAGCUCUUUCUCUCCAUUUUCCCCAGAGCUCAGAGACAUUUGAGGAGUGAUGGCAGCAUUUACUUCACUAGUGUUUUGCUGAAAAGGGAAACAACACAACACUCUGAGUUAUAAAUCAAACAAGAACCGCACACAAAGUUGACUGAAACCAGAGAAACUAACCAAGACCAGUGUGGUUAUUGACUCCCCUGAAGGCCUUAGAGCAUCGUGUUUGAACACCAAAGACUCGUUAGUAGCAUUCAAACACACAGUGUACCUAUUCUCACAGAGGAGACUCGUCACCGUCCCUGAACGCCAUCCCGGUUCAAGAAACACUUCAACAGACUCCAUCAAUCCAUAGCUUCUUUCAACAGAAACAUGGACUGGUGUGAGCCUAAUGCUGCUUAAACCAACGGUCCUGUUUGGUUUUGGUGUUUCACCAUCAUCCCAGCUAAUGUGCUUGAAAGGCUUGACAAUGAAACUCUUCUUAUCCCCCAUCACCUUAACAAUCACCGAUGGUACCCACACAUCAACCUCAUCAUCAUCAUCCGUGUCAUUCACUUCCACCAUGGUUCCACAGCUAAAUGUUAAUGUCUUAUAUAGAAAUCUCUUCAAUAACCCAAAAAAAAGAAAAUUAAGAAAUAAUGAGAAACCACAUAAACACACAAGAAAAGAAAAAAAGCACAACAAAGAAAGCUCGAACCUUCUUUCGUGGUCUGUCCCACACGUGACUCUGUCAAAAUGCUCUCUGAGCUGUUCUGUCUUGAUCUGGAACAGAUCCGGUGGUGAAUUGAAGUAAACCCAAGCUUUCUCAUGGUCUUAUCUUCUUGAAAAACACACCGGUCCACCACCCACCUCUCUGAGACGCCUCCACCACACACCCUUCCUUGAAAUCCACCUCCGUGAACAGAUUUUCCGGCGGAACCGGACGGAUAUACCUCCGGUAAGUGAUUUUCCGAGUAUUGGAGCCAUCGUCCGAUAGGAAAGACACAUGAAGCCUUAUGUUUCCAAAUACAGGCACAGAGGUUUCAAGAAUGGCUCUGAACCAAGACCCUUUAAGACCUUCUUCGUGUGAGGAGACUUCAAUCUCAUCGCCUUUCUUCAUUGGCAUUGUCGGAAAAUAGAAACCCUAGAACUGAGAGUGGGUGAACAGAGAGUCAUAACAAAAUAAAUAUCCUCUGGACUUAGACUUUAACUCCAGAUGCCCUCAUGAGAAAAAAACUAACCUUCAUAUCCCCUCUCUAUUCUCAAUACCCCCAUUGUCAUUGCAAAUACCAAAUUAGCCUCUCAUUUCUUUAAUAUAUUUCUUCCACCUCAUUAACUCAUUUAUUUCUUCACUUAAAUAAACCAACAACCAAGAUGGCCCACCAGAGACAACCUUAACCAAUCAGAGAAGACCUGGCCCACAUGUCUUCAAGUUUCCCUCUUUCUCCGCGUGAAGCUCUCCUUCCUCACUCUCCAUUGGCGAAUUUGAAGCUUCAUAAACAGGUUAUUCUUGUCCGUUUUUGAUGUUUUUUUUUGUGGAAUAGCAUUUAAAUGUUGUGUAUAUCAUGGGUAAUGUAAAAAAAGUAAGAAUUAAUGAAAGUUUUGAGAGAGUAAAAACGAGUCUGAAAACUGUGAAUAUAGAUUUCGGGUAUAUUUUAUGUCCGGUUUUGAUGAAAUUUUUGCUUGACUACUAUUAAAAAGAAGCGUAUAUCUCGCCUAGUAUUUAAAAAGAAAGAUCGAUGCAAAUUUUAAGAGAUUUAAAAAGAUUUUGAAAACUAUGUUUAUGGGUUUAUGGUAUAUUUUAUGUCCAUUUUCGAUGAUCUUUUGUAUGUAAUUUCAUUAAUAUGAAUUAUAUAUCAUGGGUAAUGUAAAAUCUGAACAAAAUCGUCCUAAAAUUUUCAUUAGCUAGUGCAAGGAUAAUUUCUGGGUAUUACUAUGAUAACUAAAGUUUACUAAGGUAAAAUUGUUUUACUAGUAAUACUAGUAUUACUAAGUAUAUUACUGAAAUGAAAUGAAAAAGUAUUAGUAAGAGAGUACAAGCUUCCUAAUAAUGGUAAUUAAAUUGUAAUAUAAUUAAAAUUCUAUUUUAUUUCAGGAAAAAUGCAAAAUCCACCUUGCACAAUCAUUUGUUUUGACUACGGGGGAUAUUAUAUUAAGGAUGGGGCCGAAAUGAAAUGGAUUUCGGGAGAUGGUGAAGGAGAAGAUGAAAUUCACACGAUUGUGUUUAAGGAAUCAGUGGAGGAGAUCACAUACUCUGCUUUGGUUGAGCGUAUUUGCAGAAAGAUAAAGGUAGAUGGAUAUAAGGUGGAAACGAAGAUUAGUUACUUUCCAAUGGUCUUGUAUUCAAACAAGCUAUCAUAUGUCUGGAAUGAUGAAGAUGUUUUUGGUUAUCUACUGCAAGUAAAUCAUGAGAAGUGUAGAAGUGUUCUACAUGUGGAGUUCAACAAAACGGUUCAAGAAGAGGAUGAUGAAGCUGAUGUCUAUGUCGGUCUAUCCGAUAGAGAGGCUACUGAUGGAGAGGCUACUGAUACAUGGGCUACUGAUAGAGUGGCUUGUGAAGCAGAUGGUGUGCUCACACUUUACGAUGACAUUGAAAUUCAUGGUAAUGUCACCGAAAGAGAUGCGAUUGUGAUUGAAGAUACAGAAGCAAGACCAUCAGUUGAAGUAACCCCAGCUGUCAAGGAACGGGAUGAUGGUAUGGAUUUGGCUGUAGGUCAAGAAUUUAGAACCAAGGAGGAAGCACAAGUUCAUAUUCAGACGGCUUCACAUCUGAAGUGUUUUGAGUAUGAUGUAAUUAAGUCGGACACUAAGAGAUAUGUGAUAAAAUGCCGAGCAGCCAAAGAAGGCUGCAAGUGGUAUGUGCGUGUUGCAAAGUUGAUGAAUUCAGAUAGUUGGACGGUUAGAAGUUACAUCAAACAGCAUAGAUGUUCUGUUGUUACUACAAGAACACUUCCUAAUAGAAGGAGAGGCACACCAGGAAUCGUUGCAGCUGUUUUGGCUCAAGAUUAUCCCGGUAGUUUAGACACACCAGCUCCCAACGCCUUGAUCCAGCUGGUUCAUCACAGGGUGGCUGUGAAAGUAUCAUACACAACGUCAUGGAGAGGAAAAAGAUUAGCUGCUAAUAAAGUGCGAGGAAGUCCAGAAGAGAGUUAUACUUUAUUAAAUUCUUAUAUGCACAUGCUAAAGCAGUCGAAUCCUGGCACAGUAGCUCGAGUGGUUGUGGAUGAGGCCCAAAAGUUUAAAUAUCUGUUUUUUGCUUUGGGAGCUAGCAUAGAAGGGUUUACCGCUAUGAGGAAAGUCCUCAUUGUCGAUGCAACACACCUGAAGAAUGUUUAUGGUGGAGUUCUAUUUGUUGCGACUGCUCAAGAUCCCGAUCAUCACCACUAUCCAAUUGCGUUUGGUAUUGCAGAUGGUGAGAAAGAGCAUAGUUGGGUGUGGUUUAUGGAACAGUUGAAAUCAGUGAUAUCUGAUGUUCCUGGAUUGGUGUUUCUUUCAGAUAGAAACAAAAGCUUGAUCAAGGCAGUAAGUCUAGUGUUCCCUCAGGCCGCUCAUGGUUAUUGUAUAUGGCAUUUGGCUCAGAAUGUUAAAGUACAUGUCCGUAACAACAGAGAAACUUGCACGUUUAAGUUUAUGGGCUGCGCACACGCUUAUACAGAGGCUGAGUUCUUGAACCUUUAUAAUGCUUUUCGCAUGAGGUAUCCUAGCGCAGCGGAGUAUCUUGACAAAAGUGUUGAAGAGAGGAAAUGGGCGAGAUGUUACUUUGAAGGAGAUAGGUACAAUGUUGACACCACCAAUUCAGUGGAAUCUUUUAAUGGUGUUAUUAGUGACGCGAGAAAGUUAAACAUACUACCAAUGUGUGAUUUCAUCAUUGGGAAAAUGGCUGAAUGGUUCAACAUACAUAGGAAGGAGGCAGCUGAAAUACCACCUGCACUAAAGCUUGUUCCUAUUGUGGAAGUGGAAAUGUCUAAAAUAUGUGUUGAUGCAGGGUUUCUUUCCGUUGUCGAGUUAAACAGCUUCCAUCUUGAGUACAGUGUCUCAGGAAGUGACGGGAAGCAUUAUACCGUUGAUAUGGCUAUGAUGACUUGUAGCUGUGAGCAAUUUGAUAAAGACAAAUACCCAUGUGUCCAUGCAGUAGCUGCUGCCACAUUUAUGACUGAUAAAGCGGGAAAGGAACUUCAUCUAUCUGAGUAUUGUUCUAAGUACUAUUUAGUGGAGCAAUGGGCUUUGGCUUAUCACAGGACAAUAUAUCCUGUUCCUCAUAUGUCUGAUUGGAUUAUACCUGAAGAAGUUAAAGCAAUGAAAGUGCUUCCUCCAGAUUAUGAAGUCAAAAAAGGAAAACCGCAGCAAACUCGAUUUCCAUCGGCAGGAGAAUCUCGUGGAAGAGGAAAAAGAGGCAAAGGGAGAGUCAGCGGCACAGGUAGAGCCAGCGGCACAGGCACCGCUAACGGCACAGGCACCGCUAACGGCACAGGCAGUACCAGUGGCGCUGGCAGUUCCAGCGGCACAGUCAGAGCGAGAGGAGGAGGUAUGGGAGCGUAUUUUGAAUGUGGAAUUGGUGCAGGUCCAGGUUUGGAUUACUGAGUUUACUAUGUUUUGUUUGGAUUACUGAGUUUACUGAGUUUACUAUGUUUUAUUUGGACUACUAGAUUUUCUGGAGUUACUAUAUGUUAUUUGGAAUACUAGAUUUUCUGGAAUUACUAUGUGUGAUUUGGACUACAUAUAUAUUAGUACGAGUAUUUAUGUUUAGUAUAUAGAACCCUUAUAUUUUUCAUGAGUAUUAUCAAUUCGUAGACUAUAUAUUUGAUAAAUAUAUAUAUUAAAACUAUUUUGAUUAUUAUUUUCAAUAGUUUAAGAAAAACCUAUUCAGUUUUCUAAAAAAUGUCCUGAACUUAUAUUGUUAGUGUGUGAAUGGUUAGACUAUAGCUAGGAAAAUCUAACAAAAUACAUAUUCCUGGAAAACUUCUGCUGCAAAUGUUUUCUUUGAUGAUAAUCAUAGUGUAAAAUCAUUGGUUUUACUAAAAAAAAUUUCAUAUUCUACGGAUUUAACUAGAAAAACCUAAAAAUUGCCAAAGAAUUACUAUGUGUAAGGUAGUAUUACUAACUCCUUGAAGAAUACCAAGAAUUACUAAGUGUAAUUUGAAUAUUAUAUUUAUGUAUAUACCGAUUGCACGUUUUACAUGAGUACAUUUAUUAACAUGUGCUAUGAAUAUAUUUAUGUAUAUACCGGUUGCACGUUUUACAUGAGUACAUUUAUUAACACGUUUUUGGCCUUAGUAAACCUAGUAGUAAGACCAGUUAUCCAUCUGAAUCAUUUUUGGACAUAGCCUAACUUGAAAACAGUUUCCAAACCUGUUUUUUAACAUCCAAAACACAUUAUACAACCAAGUUUAAACAUCCAAAAGCAUACCACAACCAAGUUUAAACACCCAAAAGCAUAUUACAUCCAAAAGCAUCCUACCAAGUUUUAAAGACUUCAAAUACAUAAAUAAUUUUCAGACGCCUACUUAACCUUUGUUUUACGCUUCUUCUUAGGCCCGUCAAUGUCUUCUGUCUUCACCUGCGUGUAGGGACUCUGCAGCCGCUGAGGUUUUCUCUUCUCCCUUGGCGUACGUGCAAUCACAGGUGCUGAUUCUUGACUCUGGGGCCGCUGAGGUUUUUUCUUCCCCCUUGGUUUGCCAUACAUCAUUAUCUUCUGUUUGCACCUAAGCUUGAACCCUGUCCUCACCUCAUUGGUUCCAUCUCUCCUCACCUCAGUGGUCCCAUCCGCCAUCUCCUCACUAGCCUUGUAAACGACCAAGGCCCACAUUUGCUUUUCUUCAUCAGUGUAUUUAUCACCCUCUUUCUCGACAACUGUCUCAGCCUCUUUCUCAACCACUUUAUCCGCCUCUUCCUCUGCUUCCUCAGCUUCCUCUGCUUCCAUAGCUUCCUCUGCUUCCUCUGCUUCCUCAGCUUCUUCUUCCACCAUUUCUUCAGCAUUUUUUUCGGUGGGACUCUCCUCCACAGCUUCUUCUUUCUCCACCAUUUCUUCAGCAAUUUUUUCGGUGGGACUCUCCUCCACACCUUCUUCUUCCUCCACCAUUUCUUCAGCUAUUUUCUCGGUGGGACUCUCCUCCACACCUUCUUCUUCCUCCACCAUUUCUUCAGCUAUUUUCUCGGUGGGACUCUCCUCCACACCUUCUUUUUCCUCCACCAUUUCUUCAGCAUUUUUUUCUUUGAGACUCUCCUCGUCACUUUCUUCGGCUUCAACUGCCAUCUCCUCACCCUCUUCCUCGAUAACUGUCUCAGCCUCUUUUUCAGUCUCGAUAGGUGAUGGCGCAGUUACCGUUGGUCCUCUUAAAAACUCCUCUGGUGGUGUAAGUACUAUUUUUCUCGCGGCCAAUCUCUUCGGUCUACCACGUGGUGGUGUAGGAGUUCCCUUGGCAACUUUCUCAGCCUCUUUCUCUAGAUACUCAGUCUCUUCAGAAAGAAUACUCUUCCAUAACGCAUCCGCCUCUACUCUCCUCUUCUCAGCCUCUUCCUCAGUAUCGUAAUCUUCUUCAGAGACCUCAUCUUUUUCUCUAGUUCCCAGCUCUGUUUUAUCAGCCUCGUUCUCCUUCUCUUCUUCUUCCUCCACGUUUCCCUUGUCUUUCUCACCAUCCUUACUGUUUUCCCCACCCGAGACCACAUCCUUUUCCUCGCCAGACUCACUGUUUUCCUUGUCUUCCUUAGCCUUCUCACUGUUUUCCUUCCCUUCAGCUCUACCAUAAUCUCUAUCAUCCCAUCCAAAAUCCAUAUCUUCACCAUAGUUCCUCUCCUCAUUUUUGUUGCUCUCAAUAGAAGUCAGCUUUUCUUCUAUUUUCUUAGCCCUUCUUUUAAGUUGUCGCUGGUUCUUUUCAAAUUUACUCAUCCUCACAUCCAUAUCACCCAGCUUUGCCUCCACCACUGAUUUAAGACCAGAAAACCCUUCACUCAUGGCCCCCAAAAUCUUUUCUUCCAGAGCUUUCAAGCUCUCCAACCCAGAUUUAGAAGACGAAUCUUCUAAAAACGUCACCUUUUCUUUGUCCUUCUUCUUCUUAAACACUCGUGCAGCAACAUCUAAGUCGUAUAGCUCUUUCCAAAAUAUCUUCUUCUGCUUCACAUUUAGCCAGUGGUUCCAAGUAUCACUUGUGCUUCCCUCACAAUGAUACUCUCGCUCCUCAUCAAUUAUACGAGCCAGCAUGAUUUCCUCACCCACAGUUGGCACCAACACACUGUUAAUAACCUGAAAAAAAAAUGAAAAAGGAAAAUCAGUUUAAAUUUUAUUAUAUUCUUCUAGUUUCUACUACAAAGUAUAUAUACAUAUACCUUUGUGUGUCCAAGUGCAGCAUAUAUAUCUUCCAAAGGAUAUCCCUUCAUGCUACUCUUUGUAAACCGGCUCUUGCACAUCCUAGGACAAUCUUCAGAAGGUGUGUCUUUAGAUAGUCGAAAUGUUUUCCCCAGCUUAGGAAUACAUUCAAAAGCCAAAAUCUACACAAAUAUUGUAGCGCUAUCAGAUUUACGGUUAUAAAACAACUCAUAUUUGACUAAAUUGUAUGCUUUACCUCUAAUGGAAUUAUGAAUCCAGGAAAGCCGCAUGCCGAGUGCACUUCACCCUUCAGAAGCUCCAUCAUAUGCUUGAUGUUCUUUAUUGCAUCUUCAAAUGUCAAACGACCCCAUGGAAAUGUUCUGCAAACAUCCAAAUCUUCCACGAUCCUUAAGAUGAACGGGUCUACUGGUCCGCAAUCCUUUGCCUGUCCUCUGAUAACCCGACCAAGGAAGAACAAGACAGCCAUCUUCAAUCUAUCAUUGCAUGGUGUCUUCAUAGACAACAGCUUGUGCUCCACAUCUGUUAUGGUGAUCUUCUUUAGUCCACCGAAGUAAUAAUCCACAAACUUCGUACUCCCGAGCUUCAAAUAUUUCCUCGAAUACUCAUGGCAGUCUAAGCCCGAGAUGAGGGCAUGCUCCCUCAUAGAAUAGCGGAUGGGAACACCAUUCACACCAAACCAUGCAACAUCUUCUUCUUCAGUCGAAAUGGUGCGCAAGAGUAACAUCCACAUUCCUUGGAGCUUCAGGUAUUGUUCAUCAGGCAUGUGGAAGAAGUGACGAAAUUGAGGAUGGGUUAUGAACCAUUUAACCUCCUCCUUAAGCUUCUUAAUCACGUCCACUGUAUUCUUCACAAGGCACUUGGUUUGAAUCUUGCAAGUCUUCGUGAACUCUGUGCUCUUGAAGCAUAAUUCAAGGGGCUGUGGUGGUUGCCUUGCCUGCAAUCAUAAUAUAUAUGUAUUAGUCAUUUGUUACUACUAAAAUUAGUAUACUUUCACACUGACAAUGAUUAAAACGAGUGCAAAAACUACCUUAGAUGAUACAGCAGACAUGUCAUCACUUUCUGAAUCAACAGAGAGAGAAACUACAGUCGUUUCUCUUGCCGGCUCAUUCCCAGCUGAGACCGCCUUUCUAGCUCUAGUUCUACUGGAGACUCCAACGCACGUAGUAGAUGGAUUCUUUCUUUUUCGGCCCUUCAUUUCCUGUACAAGAAAUUAGAAACGCUGUUAAAAACACAACAAGUCACUGUCAAUUACUCCAAAUGCAAACCGCAUAGCAAACAUCAAUUAUUACAUCUCAACAAUGUAAUACUCAAAGGAAACUACUCACUUACGAAAAGGAACGAAGAUGGAGACUAGAUUUCGUCGGAGAAAGAAGAAGAAACGAAGCAGUUCUCGACUCUAGAGAGUUGAGACCCGAGAAAUAAGAGGGAGAGAGGACGUCCACAGAGAGAUUGAUUGAUUCUCGAUUUAGACGGAGGAGGACGACGGAGAAAGCCACAAAGCACGGAGGCUAGGGUUUCGCGCAAUCGCAAGAGAGAAGCCGGAGAGGGACGAGACGGGAUUUAGAUUUAGGUGGAGAGGGAGAGAGACGAAACGCUUCGUUUAGAGAAUAGGAUCCGGUUCAGUUUGGUUGGGUCGGGUAGAGCAGGUCGGGUUGGUAAUAAGUUGGUUUCAUUAAGGUCCCUAGCGUCUUUAACCACGAUUUACCCGAUUUUAUAUUUAAAAAAAAAUAAAAAAUAUAUUAUUUUUUAUUACAGGGUGAAAUCAGCAUUUCUAAUGGAGCUAAUGGAGAGGGAGGGGCAUCUCGAGUUAAACUCCUCUGGACUUUGGUAUUAUUUUUUUUUUCAUUUUGGCGCGAUUUAAAUUAUUAUGAAAAAAAACAAAAAUUAACUAAUGGGCCUACGAUUGUUGGGCCUGGGCUUAGAAAUGAAAGUUAUAAAGAGCCUGAGGUGAAAUCUCUGUUCGAUGAGGCGGAAAGUGCCUUCGAGUCGCCAGUUCAUAUUCUGGUUAACUCCGCGGUGAAAUUGUAUGUGUUUUCUUGAUUAACAAUGUACACGUUACAAUGAAUAUAUACUAGAGGUCUCGUUCUGUACAAGGGAUAUAGUCAAGUAUCGAGAUCCAAGAAUAUAGGAGAUGAUGAGCAUGUCUGAAUUCGAACCAAAUGUGAUAUGUUCUGUCUGGCUAUUGAGUUAGAAACAUGAUUCCUUCCUGUACGUCAUUUCGACAUGAAUUUUUGAGUUUAAUCUUGCCUUGACGUUUGAUCAAAAAAAAAAAUCUUGCCUUGACGUUAAAGUUUUAGUUCAUUAGCUUGGUUAUGUCUGAAUUCGAACCAAAUGUGAUAUGUUCUGUGUUUUUUUUUUUUUUGAGUUAUAAAAAUGAUUCCUUUAGUCUCAUUUCAACUGGCAUUUCGUGUUUGAACCAUUGUUACAUAUCUGUACUUGAUCAAUCCGAAUACACUUUAAGUUCCAACGUUUUUGAGAUCUGAAAUUGUUAAAUUUUGAACCAAAUGAAACAUGUCCCGUGUUCUUGAGAUGUGUAUGUCUAAUCUCGAAUCAAAGGUUAAUGCUUUCAUCGGCUGGUACUUGUGUUCUUAAUCACUCUCUGUUUGACUUUUGUUUCUUAUGGAAUGGGUAGUGUCAAUACAAAAGGGGCGUUUCCUUGCAGCAAAGAAGCUGCUAAUAGGCUCAAACAAGGAGGCGGUGGUCGGAUCAUACUCCUCAAAUAAGAUAUUUAAUAGUCGGUUCUUAAUUUUUUUAGUUAAAAGUUAAGAGAAAAGUUCUUAUAUUCAGUUAAGAACCUCAUCCUAACCUCACCCUAAGAACCCCCAAUAAUCAUGCUCUACUUAUUUAUUGAGUAUCUAAGCAAUUAAGAAAAAUAAGAAAUUAAAGAAAUUAGGAAAGAGACAACAAAAGUAUCUAGAAAAAGAACUUUUAAGAAACUCUUAAAAGUUAAAAUGACAUUUUUCAAGUUAGUUUUUUUCUAAAAAUUAAAACUUAAUUCAUUAAUUAAACUUUGUUAAAAUAUUAGUUUUUUUGUACUUUAGAGCCUUACUUAAGAUAUUAUACCAACAAGGGUGCUCUUAGACACAUGCCCAUCUUUGGGUUUCACCGUGUAAGUUUGAUCGUAUUGUUUUUCUAUGUAAAUCUAAUUCUUUCGGGUUUCUUCCCAAUUCGAUAAUGACUUUCACCUCCUUUUAGGUCUUUGAUUCAUAUUUUAGGCUUAAAUUUCUAGGUCAGAAUUUACACUCCAACUCCAACAUUGAUUUUUUUAGAAAUUUGAUUUAAUUUUGUUAGAUAGCUAAUAAAAAUGCUUUAAAACUAACUAACUAAGUUACAUGAUGAGGAUAAACAAGAUCGCACUCUAUAAAAAAAAAAAAGAUCGCCCUCUAUAUAACAUUGUCUAGUGAUUGUUUUUCUUUAAUUGUGAGUAAACAUUAUAUAUUCAACAAGAUUCUUUUUUUUUCUUGUGCACACUCAACCAAAUGCUUAGAGCAUGAUUAACCAUGGAGACCCAUUAGGGUCUCUUAAUGAAUAUUUAAAUAAUAAAGUUAAGAUAAGAAAUUUUGUUAAGAGACAAUUAGUUUUAGUGCUCCAAUGCAAGAACUCAAUUAAGGGUUCUUAAAAAAGGUUAAAGAUUCUGAAGCCAAAUCUACAAUAUAGCAAGAAAAUUUAGGAGUCAUGAGGAUUACCUUCUCACUGCCAUGAACACCGCCGUCUUUAACCGAUGGUCUUAACACCACGUUUCCUUCUUCUCUUGUACGAUGGACGUACAGAGGAUGACGACGAUGAUUCCUCCACCAUUGAUGCAAUCGACUCCGUUUCUUCCUUUUCUUCCUCCUCUGUUUCUUGUUCUUCGGUUUCAUCUUCUUGAGUUUUGUCAAAUGUUCCGUACUAAGAGGAGAUAGAGUCAGCGUGAGGAACAUCUAACAUUACAGCUCGUCUCAAAGUUGCUUUAUACUCCAAGUUGUGUUCUCUUGCUAGUGAUUCUUCUCUCUCCAUCCUCUGCUUCUCUGGUAUCUCCAUUCUCUUCUCCUUCUCCAACAUUAGCUGCAUGCAGAUGCAAAGCUAUAGAAUCAGUAACCGGUGAAAGAUUUAAAGGAGGUUGGUGGGAGACUUACGUUCAGAGUGGAACACAUGUAUCUUUCAUGCAUCUUAUGCACAACAAACAUGGCAAACUGUCCACAUAAAAACAAAACUCAAACCCAUUACAAGUAAGCAGAGUAAUGGAACAAAACAAAAGGAACUUACAAAAACGCUUGGUAAGUGAAAGAGAACUUUCUAGAAUCAAAAUUGUACCAAAAGAGCAUGCAAAGAUAAAAAAAACUACAUUGUGAGAAUGUUGUGAGCCAUCUUUGAAAGUUUCUAAAAAAACAUACUUUCGUAAACCCUCUGCAUAUAGAGUUCAUGAUCAGUAUAUGAAGUAACACUCCUGAUUCAUGAAUAUAAUUCAUACCCAUACAAUAAA
RNAcentral lists this long non-coding RNA (31912 nucleotides) under Brassica rapa (field mustard). RNAcentral's name for it is "long non-coding RNA (BRAP_LNC000315)". The record is from RNAcentral. Lineage: Eukaryota; Viridiplantae; Streptophyta; Magnoliopsida; Brassicales; Brassicaceae.